RNAcentral lists this ribosomal RNA (465 nucleotides) under uncultured Klebsiella sp. RNAcentral describes it as "bacterial SSU rRNA". It matches the Rfam family "Bacterial small subunit ribosomal RNA", at positions 338 to 795 of the family's 1533-position model. The record is from RNAcentral. Lineage: Bacteria; Pseudomonadati; Pseudomonadota; Gammaproteobacteria; Enterobacterales; Enterobacteriaceae.
CCUACGGGGGGCAGCAGUGGGGAAUAUUGCACAAUGGGCGCAAGCCUGAUGCAGCCAUGCCGCGUGUGUGAAGAAGGCCUUCGGGUUGUAAAGCACUUUCAGCGGGGAGGAAGGCGUUAAGGUUAAUAACCUUGUCGAUUGACGUUACCCGCAGAAGAAGCACCGGCUAACUCCGUGCCAGCAGCCGCGGUAAUACGGAGGGUGCAAGCGUUAAUCGGAAUUACUGGGCGUAAAGCGCACGCAGGCGGUCUGUCAAGUCGGAUGUGAAAUCCCCGGGCUCAACCUGGGAACUGCAUUCGAAACUGGCAGGCUAGAGUCUUGUAGAGGGGGGUAGAAUUCCAGGUGUAGCGGUGAAAUGCGUAGAGAUCUGGAGGAAUACCGGUGGCGAAGGCGGCCCCCUGGACAAAGUCUGACGCUCAGGUGCGAAAGCGUGGGGAGCAAACAGGAUUAGAUACCCGGGUAGUC